CCCCCCCCCCCGGCGUCAUUGGUUUGGCUUGGGAGCCUGAGAGGGUCUAUGUUGAGAUCAGUUUGGAACAGUAUAUACAAUUUCCUUAUGUGUAGAGCGGGGAAGAUUGGUGUGGACAACAAAACAAAGGAAACAAAAUCAGAGGCUCAGAAAAGUAAUUCUUUUAUGAGAGGUGUCGAUCCGCGCCCAUGAAAUGUCACAGUUACCUGGCCUUUAAAUAAAACCUAACAACAGUUGCCAAGCCUGGGAAAGGAAGUCAAGUCUAUCCGUAAGCCAUGCCAAAGAUCCGGAAGAUGCUUCUGAGGCAGAAACUCAGGUUUGCGCUGGUCAAGAAAUGGUUAAUAGGGUCUGUAAGCGGCCUUGUUGUUAAUUACAAGUUGUUAAGAUCAUAAAUCUCCGCAUGUCUGGCUGGAGAUGCCAGUGAGAGGCCCUUUCUGAUAUCUCCAGCUAGCCAAGCGUGUAAACUAACAUUUUCAAGGACACAUCUGGAGGAAAUAGUUUGCUUAUCUAUAUGUAGAAGAAGAAAGGCUUAAUUGUAAUAGAGGAAUGUUGCCAAUUGUAAUAUGAGCAUGAUUAUAAUAAUUGUAAUAUGAUGGAUAAUUGAUGCUAACCAAUGAAGAUUGUAUCUACUGAAUGUAAUUGAGAUGGAUAUAAAAAGCUGGAAUCACGAUGUAAUCUUUAUCUCAGGUUGGGAGCGAUUCCUCUGAGAUCCAAUUGCCAGGCAAUAAAUCUGUUUUUUCUCAA
Molecule: long non-coding RNA, 744 nt
Organism: Hemicordylus capensis (graceful crag lizard)
Lineage: Eukaryota; Metazoa; Chordata; Lepidosauria; Squamata; Cordylidae
Exons: 2
Source: RefSeq, a predicted model, not a curated record